UAUUUAUCAUGAUUGCGGUGAGAGAUCUGGCUCUGCGACCCGCUGGCAACCAUCUUUAAGAAAGUUUAAAGAAAGGUGCCCCAUCCAGCCCUAAGAAGGGAGAGAUAAAGG
RNAcentral lists this non-coding RNA (111 nucleotides) under Candidatus Falkowiibacteriota. Its description in RNAcentral is "Candidatus Falkowbacteria SAM-I sequence". It matches the Rfam family "SAM riboswitch aptamer (S box leader)". From Rfam's summary of the family: The SAM riboswitch is found upstream of a number of genes which code for proteins involved in methionine or cysteine biosynthesis in Gram-positive bacteria. The SAM riboswitch acts at the level of transcription termination control. The record is from RNAcentral.